GAAAGUAAAAGUCGUAACAAGGUUUCCGUAGGUGAACCUGCGGAAGGAUCAUUAAUGUGUUUGGGCCUCACGGCUCUUCAUUCCGACGCUGUGCGCCUUCGGGCUGCACGCUGAGGGAGCAUAUAUCCACCCCUGUGCACACACACGGUGGCGAGCUGGGUAACGGCUCGCCGCUGAUCUUUACACACGUCUAAAAGUCAUUGUAUGUUUAUUUGAGAUAAAAACACAACUUUCAGCAACGGAUCUCUUGGCUCUC
RNAcentral lists this unclassified non-coding RNA (256 nucleotides) under plant metagenome. RNAcentral describes it as "partial contains small subunit ribosomal RNA, internal transcribed spacer 1, and 5.8S ribosomal RNA". The stretch from base 1 to 54 matches the Rfam family "Eukaryotic small subunit ribosomal RNA", at positions 1778 to 1831 of the family's 1831-position model. The record is from RNAcentral.